UUUCCCUGAUACCAGAACCACCAAAACAUUUUUCAAAAAAAAAAUCUUAUACAUCACGGAAAGACGGUGCUGGAAACCUGCAAGUCCUUACCAAACACACCCCCGUCGGAACUCAGAAACCCGUAAAUCCUUUCUCUAUUGUUCGUUUUUUCUGGGCUCCAUUAUCAAGAAACCUAAAUGGGGAAUCAUGAAAACACUAAUCCCAAUGGAUAUCCGGAUGGAUUUUGGCUUAGAGAAAGUGGGUUUAGCAUGUGAAUCUCAAAAUGAAGAUGAAAUAUAAUAAAGGUGUGAUCUUGUGCACUGGGAUCUGAGAAGAAGGUAAAGUGAACUUGUUUGAGGAUCACUAGGAGAUAGAAUUUGCUUUAUAGAAUGAAAGAAAACAGAUUUAGAAAAUUAGAAGCUUGUUAGUUAAGAAUUAUUUUUAUACUUUUGCAGUGCGUUCGUAAUAUAUGGCAGUAAGUAUCCUCCAAAAUUG
Molecule: long non-coding RNA, 475 nt
Filed under: Helianthus annuus (common sunflower)
Lineage: Eukaryota; Viridiplantae; Streptophyta; Magnoliopsida; Asterales; Asteraceae
Description: hypothetical non coding rna
Source: RNAcentral